RNAcentral lists this long non-coding RNA (15615 nucleotides) under Ananas comosus (pineapple). RNAcentral's name for it is "long non-coding RNA (ACOM_LNC003494)". The record is from RNAcentral. Lineage: Eukaryota; Viridiplantae; Streptophyta; Magnoliopsida; Poales; Bromeliaceae.
CCACUGGGAACUUUGUUUAGUUCUCAAACCCUGUUUUGCAGAGCCUAAUACGAGCGCGUGCGUCGAGGAUCACGGCAAGGGUAUCGCGCCCUAGAUAGAGUGGACCAUCGGCAUUAGCUCACUACCAUCGAGUAUAAAAGGAAAGAAUGAAUGUAAAAACCUUUUUGGAAAGAGAAUGUGAUAUAUAUGUUAGAUGUUAGUUUGUAUGUUAAAUGAGAGGUUUUGUAAUAAGCUAAAGAAUGUAAGUUGUUAAACACACUAUGUGGAAAUGUUCUAGUAAGUAGCUUACUUUCUCUCGUAUCUUGAUAUGCCUCUCGCAAAUGUUGAAUGCUAAUAUCUCUUGUUUAGAUAUGUAUGCAUAGACUUUGUUACGCUUCGGGCGGGCAGGGGAAACUCUGUCUGUUCUGCAGGUCUGUUUCGGACCCGAACUGUCCAAAUUGGCGGUGACGGGACGUGACAGAUUGAGGUGGUAUCAGAGCGGAGAGCGGUCUAGGAAGACCUAGGAAACCUUAGGACUUGUGGCCUUAAGGAUUUAGAGACGUGAGAGACGAUGACUCUUGGGUUGUGGCGAAAGUGAAAUGAUUGGGUCAAGUUGUGAAAUAUGUCUCUAAUGAGCUUUAGAGACGGAUUCAAGGUGUGAUUUAAUCUUAGCUUGAGGUGGUCAUGUUGGCGGCCGACAACAUGAUGCCGAGAGAUGAGAUUAAGUACCCUUGUUUAACUUUCGCCUAAUUGGGUUGUCUCGUUGGUGUUACUAACUUAUGUUAGUUAUAAAUUCGUGGAGUGUAACCGGGGGUGCUGUUUCCUUUCAGGACGUGAUGAGACGUGGAAGGCCACCCCCGAAGGUACCUACUCCUGAUCCGGCACCGCCUCUUGAGGUGCCUGAGUCGUCGGUAUCUGGCGAGAUACAAGAUUUGCGGGAUCAAGUUGCCGCUCUUGUUGGAGUGGUGCGGAGACAAGCUGAAGCUUCUCAGCAGCUGGCUGAGGCCUCCCAGCGACAGGAAGAACAGAUGGCGCUGCUUCGGGAAUUGGUGUCCCGACAGGCGGCGGCGACACCUGUCACUCAGCAGCCACCCGUCUCACCUGUGCGCGCCCCUACUGGAGUUGAGGCGGCGGGUGCGGCGGCACCACCGCCGAUGGGGUACACCGUGCCACCAGGUGUGGCGGCGGGCACUUGCCCGGCGAUGUCGAGUACUUCUACUCAUGUUGAUCCGGCGUUGGAGGCCGAGAGGGACCGAGCUCUCGCUUGCCUCACCGCAUUCAAGAAGUUCAAUCCGCCUAUUUUCAACGGGGAGUCGGGUGACCCGUGGGAAAUGGAAUCGUGGGUGGAUACAAUGGAGAAGUUGUUCGAGGAUCUCUAUACCCUUGAGCAAGAUAAGGUGCACCUAGCUGUGCAUUGCCUCGAGAAGUCCGCUCGUGUUUGGUGGAAGGCGACUCGUCAGAAUCGCUCCCCUACAUUACCCCCGAUGAUGUGGGAGGAGUUCCGAGGAUUGCUUUAUGGUGUUCACUUCCCGGAUAGUGAUAAGAAGAAAAUGGAGGAGCAAUUCCGAAUCCUUAAGCAAGGGGAUCGCACUGUUCGAGAUUAUGAGAGGGAGUUCUCUCACAUUGUGAAUUGCGUUCCACAUGUGGUCCGGAGUGACGAAGACAAGGCGGGAUGCUUUGAGCGUGGACUUCGCCGCGAGAUCUAUGCGGCGAUGCAACCCUUAAGGUUGAAGACCUUUACUGAGGUGUUUGAUAGAGCUCUUUGGGUAGAGCAAGGAAUCGCCAAGAUGCGCGCGGAGCGCGAAUCGAAUGAUAAGGGUGCAGAUAAGAAGCGGUCGGCUAGUGGUCCCGCUGGAUCAUCAAAGUACAAGAAGCCCCCGAAGUAUCCGCGUAAGCCGGGGAAGGAUCGUGGACCUCCUCACUGCUACAUUUGUGGGGGAAAUCAUCGGUCCCACGACUGUGAGCGGCGUGGGAAGUGUUAUCAGUGUGGGCAACCUGGUCAUGGAUGGCGUGAGUGCCCAAUGCGUGUGUCACCGGCUCCGACUUCUGCUUCGGCUCCGCCUGCUCCGCGACAGUUCACAGGCCAUCCGCCCGCGAUGUCUACUGGACGCACCAUGGUGCCGCGUCAAGCCGAGGGAUCUCGUGCGGCGCCAAGUGGACGAGUUUAUGCUGCUCAAGUGGAGGAGCCUGCCGUAGCCGACGAUGUCGUGGCAGGUAUUAUUUUAGUUCAUAAUACUAGAGCUAGAGCAUUGUUUGACACUGGCGCAUCAAACUCAUUUAUUAGCAAGUCUUUCGCUAAAGCUCAUGACAUUGAAAUUUCAUUGUGUGCGGACUUUUGGUGGGUGGAUGCACCUGAGCACACAUUUAGUAUCAAGGAUGAAUGUAGAGCUUGUCCGGUGCAAAUUGGCGAUUGGAUCAUGCCAGUGAAUUUGCUUGUGUUGAACCGGAUGAAGGGCUUCGACAUAGUCCUUGGAAUCGAUUGGCUCUCAAAGUAUCAUGCCACCAUAGAUUGUAAAAGCAAGGUGAUCACUUUUUGUGAGCCUGGUCAGAAGGAAGUUGUUUAUCGUGCAUGCAAGAGCUCGCUCUUUGCUAUGACAGUGUCGACGUCAAGAGCAAGAAGGUUGAUUAAAAGUGGAUGUGAAGCCUACUUGGCGUCGGUGGUGGAGACUCAAAAAGAGCUCCCAGCUCUUGGGGACAUUCCGGUCGUAUGUGAAUUUCCGGAUGUAUUUCCCGCGGAAUUACCGGGAUUGCCACCGGACCGGGAGAUCGAAUUUGUGAUUGAAUUAAUUCCCGGGACGACGCCGAUUUCUAAAGCUCCUUACCGCAUGGCACCAGCGGAGUUGAAGGAAUUAAAGGCACAGUUGCAAGACCUUCUCGACAAGGGCUUUGUUAAGCCGAGUGUAUCACCGUGGGGAGCCCCGGUGUUGUUUGUAAAGAAGAAAGACGGAUCGCUUCGACUCUGCGUGGAUUAUCGCGAGUUGAACAAGGUCACAAUCAAGAACAAGUACCCGUUGCCUCGUAUUGACGACUUGUUUGAUCAGUUGCAAGGGUCGCGGGUAUAUUCGAAGAUUGACCUCCAGUCGGGCUAUCAUCAGUUGAAGGUUAAGCCGGAGGAUGUGCAUAAGACUGCGUUUCGGACGCGGUAUGGGCACUAUGAAUUCACGGUUAUGCCAUUUGGACUCACGAAUGCCCCGGCGGCUUUCAUGGACUUAAUGAACCGUAUCUUCAAGUCUUACUUGGACCGUUUUGUCGUAGUCUUCAUAGACGACAUCUUGGUCUACUCUCGGAGUGAUGAAGAGCAUGUGGAGCACUUGAGAAUUGUGCUACAACUACUUCGGGAGGAGAAAUUAUAUGCCAAGUUAAAGAAAUGCGACUUUUGGCUUCGGAAAGUUGCAUUCCUUGGGCAUGUGAUCUCGGCUGACGGAGUUUCGGUUGACUCGGGUAAGGUGGAGGCAAUAAAGAAUUGGCCUCGCCCGACGAAUGUGACUGAGGUUAGAAGCUUUUUGGGCCUUGCCGGCUAUUAUAGACGGUUCGUGGAAGGAUUUGCUAAGAUAUCUCUUCCACUAACGCGUCUUACUCAGAAAGGAGUUAAGUUUGCGUGGAGCGAGGAUUGUGCUCGAGGCUUUGGGGAAUUAAAGAAGAGAUUGACUACAGCUCCGGUCCUUGCCUUACCUACUCCCGGUGAGAGUUUUGUGGUGUAUAGCGAUGCUUCGCGAUUGGGUCUUGGGUGCGUGUUGAUGCAACGCGGGCAAGUUAUUGCAUAUGCUUCCCGACAGUUGAAGGCCUAUGAGAAAAAUUAUCCAACCCAUGAUCUCGAGUUGGCUGCCGUGGUCUUCGCACUCAAGUUGUGGAGACACUAUUUGUAUGGCGAGCGUUGCGAAGUAUACACCGACCACAAGAGCCUCAAGUAUCUGUUUACACAGAAAGAAUUGAACCUGAGGCAGCGCCGAUGGUUAGAAUUGUUGAAAGACUAUGACAUCACAAUUCUUUACCAUCCGGGAAAGGCUAAUGUGGUUGCCGAUGCAUUAAGUCGGAAGUCGGUGGAAAAUCUUGCGAUGAUGAUUACUAAACAACCGCCAUUGCUUGAAGAAUUGCGGCGUUUCAAUUUGGAAGUGGUAGCUCCGAACGUUCCAAUUGUUAUUGCAAGCUUAGUGGUGCGACCGACCUUGUUGGAGAAAGUUAAGACUCAACAGUUACAAGAUUCAUAUCUCCAAAAGGUGCGAGGUGAUGUUGAGGGUGGACAUGCGAAUGAUUUCAACGUUGGCUCCGAUGGCACAAUCCGGUUUCGAGGCCGAUUAUGUGUUCCUAGUGAUGAGGGAAUGCGGAGCGAGAUCAUGCAAGAAGCACACCAAUCCCCUUAUAGCAUACAUCCGGGUGGCACUAAGAUGUAUAAGGAUUUGAGAAACCAUUAUUGGUGGCCCGGGAUGAAGAAGGAUAUUGGUCGCUUUGUGGCGCAAUGUUUGGUGUGCCAACAAGUUAAGGCCGAACAUCGACUCCCUGCGGGAAAGCUACAAAGUUUACCAAUCCCCGUGUGGAAAUGGGAGGACGUGACUAUGGACUUGGUAGUGGGUUUACCUCGUUCUCAAGGCGGUCACGAUGCAAUAUGGGUGGUCGUGGAUCGCCUCACGAAAUCUGCGCAUUUCAUGCCAAUCCACACCACAUGGUCAGGUGAUAAACUUGCACAAGUUUAUUUGGAUGAGGUGGUCCGACUACAUGGUGUUCCGGUAUCAAUUGUGUCGGAUCGAGACCCUCGAUUUACUUCCCAGUUUUGGAAGAACUUGCAAAGUGCUCUUGGCACACGGCUCGAAUUUAGUACUGCCUUUCAUCCUCAGAGCGAUGGUCAGUCGGAGAGGACGAUACAAAUCCUUGAGGAUAUGUUGCGAGCAUGUGUUCUUGACUUCAAAGGAGGUUGGCAUAGUUAUUUGCCAAUGGCGGAGUUUGCCUAUAAUAAUAGUUAUCAAGCGAGCAUUGGAAUGGCACCGUUCGAGGCCUUGUAUGGACGGAAGUGCCGCUCCCCAAUACAUUGGAGUGAAGUUGGAGAGCGACUUGAAAUGGGUCCAGAUGUAGUACAAGAGGCCGAGGAGAAGGUUCGCAUUGCUCGGCAAAGAAUGCUAACGGCACAGUCUCGGCAAAAGAGCUAUGCUGACAAGCGCCGACGAAGCCUCGAGUUUACCGUGGGUGACAAGGUAUUCUUAAAAGUCUCCCCUAUGCGAGGCGUUAAGCGAUUUGGAAUGCGAGGGAAGUUAAGUCCUCGCUAUGUUGGGCCGUAUGAGAUUUUGGAUCGGGUUGGCCCCGUGGCUUAUCGGUUAGCAUUGCCACCUCGACUUGCGGGAGUGCACAAUGUGUUCCAUGUGUCGACACUCCGCAAGUAUGUUUCUAACUCUACGCAUGUACUCCAAUAUGAACCACCCGAGCUUCAGGAGGAUAUGUCGUACGAAGAAUUUCCGGUGCGCAUCCUAGCUCAUGAGGAGAGAAAGCUACGGAAUCGUGCGAUCGCAUAUGUCAAAGUUCAAUGGAGUAAUCAUGCUGAACGAGAAGCUACGUGGGAGCUCGAAAGCAAGAUGCAUGAAGAGUAUCCUUACCUCUUCCCCGAGUCUAAUUGAGGUAUAAUUUCAAGUUUCGAGGACGAAACUUCUUUUAAGGAGGGGAGGAUGUAGUGUACCGAAUUUUAACAUAGAAGUAAGAGUAAAUAAAAAUAGUGUAAAAUACUAUUUUUAUUGGACUUAAAGAAGUUUUCUAUGUGCAAAUGAGGUGCUUACUUGGGGGUUAAGUUUCCUAUGCAUAAGUAAAGAGUUUACUUGGGGGUCAAGUUUUCUAUGGCUAAGUAAUGGGCUAACUUGGAGGCUAAGUUUCCUAACUUGGAGGCUAAGUUUCCUAUGUAUAUAUAAAUAUGAUAUGAGGACUUGGACCUUUUCUCUCAUUUUCCACCCCUUAACCCAAAAAGAGAAGCCUUCUCUUUCCCUCUCUAAACCUCUCUCUCUCCUAGCUCCUAGAGUGUUACUCCAAAAGUGGAGAUUUGGUGGAAGAAGCUUACUUGGAGGUGGAGCUUUCCUCUUCCUCACCAUUGGCUUGAAGAGAGCUUGGGUUUGGAUCGGAAGGAAUCGACGGCCGUAAAUCGCGCUACUAGGCUACCCGCUUUGUGUCGACGCCACAAGGUGGGGGGUGCUAUCCGAAAUAGCCGGGUUUCAUUCUAUGUCUAAGUUCUACUAUUUUUUGAUCAUAUAUCAUCAUGUGUAGAAUAGUGAGAAUCCUAUGAGUUGUGGUAAUUUCAUGCUUAGUGUGAGGGAUGAUGAUCUAUGAUUGCAUGAUACUUGUAGGAAUAUCUAUUUGCAUGAUGUUGAGAUAGAUAUGGACAUGUAUGUUGCAUGAGAACCUUUAUAUGAUGCCAAUAUAGAUGUAUGUAUACAUAUAGCAUGAGUUGCUAGUGGACAUAUGCAUGUGGAUAUGAUGUGAGAAUAGACUAGAUUCAUGAGGAACUAGUAUGUGAACCAAUGACAUUUGAGAAUUGGAAACCUAUGCAUAUGUGGCCGACUUGAGCAUGCCUUGUGAUGAGGACUUGAUGAUACUCGCUUUGUCUGUUAUAGCUUGUGGAUGGUCGCGCCUCCCAAGCAGUGAGCUCCGGAGUUGUAUCACAAUUGCGAAUAAAGCGGGGGGCCUCUCCCGUCAGACGUCACGGUCCCGUGACAGUGUGUGCGAGUGGUUCGACCUUCGGGCGAAUCGAUUGGACUUGGCAAAAGGCAUGAUCAUGGCAUUUCAUAUAUCGUUUGCAUACAUGAUAGAACUUAAAUUCAUACUUGUUGACAUGAUUAGUAAAGGCAUAGCUACACAUUUGAGCAUGAUAUAGAUGUAGAUGAGCAAGGUAGGCUUGUUGUUAUAUCUCUUAUUUCUUUGACAUAUUAUCCUCUUUAUUGUUUCUAUGCCUUUCUUGGACCUAGUGGGAAAAUCGGCGGGGUCGGCGGCCGAACCCACUGGGAACUUUGUUUAGUUCUCACACCCUGUUUUACAGAGCCUAGUACGAGCGCGUGCGUCGAGGAUCGCGGCAAGGGCAUCGCGCCCUAGAUAGAGUGGACAAUCGACAUUAGCUCGCUACCCCCUAUGUAUAGCAAGGAAUGAAUGAAUGUAAAAACCCUUUUGGAAAGAGAAUAUGAUGUGUAUGUUAAAUGAGAGGUUUUGUAAUAAGCUAGAGAAUGUAAGUUGUUAAAGACUCUAUGUGGAAAUGUUUUAGUAAGUAGCUUGCUUUCUCUUGUGUCUUGAUAUGCCUCUCGCAAAUGUUGAAUGCUAAUAUCUCUUGUUUAGAUAUGUAUGCAUGGACUUUGUUACGCCUUGGGCGGAUAGGGGAAACUCUAUCCGUUCGGCGGAUCUGUUUCAGACCCGAACUGUCCAAAUUGGCGGUGACGGGACGUGACANACUUUUCGGUCGUUUGAAUUUGGGUUUAGUUUAACGACUUUUCGGUUGUUUGAAUUUGGGUUUAGUUUAGCAAUUUUUUGAUCGAUUGAAAUCGAGAUGUUCAUGAAACCGAUUCAUGAAAUUAAUUCAUGCUAGGAGCCCGUUUGUAAAGUCCAUUAAAUUUAUGACAAGGAGGGCCCAUGAAAUUAAUUUAUAGAAUUAAUUCAUGAUAGGGGGCCUAUUUGGCAAACCCAUGAAAUUAAUUUGUCAAAUUAAUUCAUGAUAGGAGGUCCAUUUGGAAAGUCUAUAAAACUAAUUCAUGAUAAGGGGGCCUAUUUUGCAAACCAUGAAAUUAAUUCGUAGAAUUAAUUUAUGAUAAGGGGUCAUUUGGAAAGCUCAGGAAAUUAAUUCAUAGAAUUAAUUUAUAAUAAAGAGCCCAUUUGGAAAGCCCAUGAAUUCGGUUUGGGUUGGAGGUAUUUGGAUGACAUAGGUUUGGUAGAUUUGGUUGGGUUUUAUUUAUGAACUUUGGAUUUUGGAUCUUUGAGUUUUGGAUCUUUAUUUGUGGAUUUUGGAUUUUUGGGAUUUUGUUUGUGGGCUGAGAUAGAUCUUGGAUUUUAUAUGUUCAGGGCCCAACUCUGCAUGUGGGCUGAGACGGGUUACGGGCUUUAAUAUUCUGGGCUCGAAUCUGUAUGUGGGCUGGGUUUUUUAUUGAUUUUGAAUCCAAAUCUGCGUAUGGGCUGGAUUUCGGGCUCUACAGGUUGUGGACUCGAAUUUGCAUGUGGGGUUGGUGCCUCUCUUUUUUUAUUGCUUAUAAAGUUUAUUCGUGUAACCCAUAAAUAAAUAGCUCAAAUUCAUUUCAUCAACAAUUUUUUUUGGUUCCAUUUUUUUUGUUCUUUCUUUUUUUUUUUUUAACUGAGAGAAGGAACAACUUUUUUUUUGCAUUUGUUCUUUUCUUUCAUUUUCUUUUCUUUUUUUUCUCUUUUUUUUGUGUGGACUGUCAGAGAGAGAGAGAGAUACAACUCCCUCUCUCUUUGUCUGUGUGUGUACGAAAUUGAGACAGAGAGAGAGAGGGGGUACCUCUCCCUUUUCUUUUUUUUUUUUGCUAAUUGUGAGAGAAAGGAAACCCAACUCCUUUUUUUUUUCUUUUCUUUUUUUUUUUCUUCUUUUCUUUCUUUUUCCUUUUUUUUUGCUGACUGUGAGAGAGAGAGAGAGGGAAAACCCAACUCUCUCUCUCUCUCUCUCUCUCUCUCUUUCUUUGUGUGCGUACGAAACCGAGGGAGAGAGAGUAGUACCCAACAACUCCUUUUUUUUUUUCUUUCUUUUCUUUCUUUUCUUUUCUUUUUUAUUCUUUCUUUCUUCUUUUUUUCUUUUGUGUUGACUGCCAGAUAGAGAGAAGUCCAACUUUUUUUUCUUUUUCUUCUUUUUUUGUUUGUUUGUUUGUUUGUUUUUUUUUAUUAUUUGUCCAAAUAUACGAAAUUUCGUAUCUCAUUUUUUUUAUACGAAAUUUAUCACGUCGAGCAAUACGAUCAAAUCGAACGAAGAUGAUGAAUCAAAACAGAACCCGUCCAUUUUUAAUUAUCAUUCUUAUUGUUAUUAUUUUUUGUCGCGUUUUGUUCAAGUACGCGGAGUUUAAUCGUGUCGAGCCUAUCACGAAGAUGGCCGCUCGAUUAAUUCUUUUGACCAUGUCGAACCUAUCGCGAAGAUGGCCGCACGGUUUACGUAUCGAAAUAAACAGAGCUCGAUCACCCAUUUUGACCAUGUCGAGCCUAUCGUGAAGAUAGCCGCACGGUUUACAUAGUAAAAUAUCCGGUUCGAUCAAUCAUUUUGACCAUGUCGAGCCUAUCACGAAGAUGGCCGCACGGUUUAGAGAUUAGCGAUGCGUACGAUAGAAGCGACGAUUUAAUGUCAAAUUUGAUCGGUUCAAAACCUAUCACGAAGAUGGUCGGGUUGAUCAAAUUGACAAAAAAAAACUCACGGUUUAGAGAUUAGCGAUGCAUAUACGCGACGGAAGCGACGAUUUAAUGUCAAAUUUGAUCGGUUCAAAACCUAUCACGAAAAUGGUCGGGUUGAUCAAAUUGACAAAAAAACGGACUUACGCUAUGCGUAUGCAUGCAUAUCUCCUACUGUUAUAGAAGUCGUUGUGAUUGUCGUUGUCGAAGUCGUAGCCGAAUUCAAGAGCCAGAGUCCUUUUUUAAUUCUUCUUUUUUUUUGUUGCUUUGUACGGAAGAGGAGGGGUGCACAUGGCACCCCCACUGCCAGCCGAGAGAGAGAGAGUGAGAGAGGAGAGAGAGAGAGGAGAGUAUAAAAACUCUUUUUUUUUUGUUUCUCACCUUUUUUUUCUUUCUUCUUCUUCUUUUUUUCUUUUUUUUUUUUUGCUUUGGUUCUCUUUCGGAUCUCUCCCUUUCUUCCUUCCUCUAAAAAAAUUCUCUCUCUAGACUCCUCUUUCGAAAUUUGGAUCUUAUUUUAUAUAGGAUUCAAAGAUGAUUCCCAUUUGGGAAUAAUUUAAAAAAUCAAUUUAUGAGGAAACAAACCUCAAUCAACUAAUUAUACCUCUUUUGUUUUAUUUUUUGAUAAUUUCCUCUUUUUUUUUCUUUUGAAUCUUUUCUUUCCCUAUUUCCUUCCUUCUAUAUUUUCAAUUUGAAUUUGAACUUUUUUUUUGUCUCAANCUAGGCGUAGCAACUGUUGAAACUUCACAUUGUGACUUAGACUAGAUCUUCAGGAUGCUAGUUAUGACACCAUGUUAGAGACAUGAGGAUUGGAUAGUUGAGACUUGGACCAUGCUUGCUUGCCAUUUGUGCUCAUUCGCACAUGCUUGUGAGGGUCGCUCCCUACAAGCCGGCACUCCGGAGUUAGCCUAUGCGACCUAUGUUCGCUCGUGCGGUAUUGAGAAGCCUACGAGGUCGAGUGGGACAGACACAUUCCAAGAGUAGGAAUGUCGGGCUACCACAGGCACUUAGGCGGCACAAGCUGGACUACCUUUGGUAGGUCCUUGAUUGGAAAUGGAAAUCGAUACGGGGUCGAGAUUGGUUAAUCACUACUAGAUAGGUUUAGUAGUUGGAUUACAUUUAUAUGUUUUUUUGCAUAGUGUUGAGACAUGUAGUAUAUUUGAUAGUCUCUUGUUGCAUUAGAGCAUACUUGGUUGCCAUGAUAGAGCUUAUGCAUCAUGCAUUGAUAAGGGUUAUUGACAUUAGACUAGUGCCAUUGGACGUAAUUGUAAGGAUAGAAUAGAUGUACAUUUUGGUUUGCAUCACGCUUUCUUUCAGCAGUUUAUUUACAUGCUCCUUAUUGCUUAUUAUUAUUAUCGUUGCUUACCUUUGUUUUUGGGGCCUAGUGGAGCAGGAGCUGAGGUCAGUAAUUGCCCACUGGGAACUAUAGCUUAUAGUUCUCACGCCCUCUUUUUCUCGAUGUUUUCAGAGCCUUCCACUCAGGGCGAAGCUAGGGACCGCGGGAAGGGAGUUGCUUCGAGCUAGCUUCCUUUGAGGACGAUUCGCUAGGUGGUCUACCUCUCGUUGUGUUUUACUUUGGAGAGGUUGAGAGUUCUACCAGUGUAUUAGAGACCACCGUUUUUGUACUUUUGAGACAGAUAUUGUACUACUUAUGAUUUCUUUAUUGUCUAGCUUUGCUUGCUCUGAUAUCUCUAGUUGCUAGUUAUUUUAUUUCUUAUAUUUGUUCUAUCUCUUGCUUUUACUUCCGCUUUUAUCGUAGACGCCUUAUAUGUGUAGACAUAUGGCGGGUCUGGGCACGCUACUGGGAGGGCCUCCGCCGGUCCCGGGGCGUGACAUAUCUCUUCCACUAACGCGUCUUACUCAGAAAGGGGUUAAGUUUGCAUGGAGCGAGGAUUGCGCUCGGGGCUUUGAAGAAUUAAAGAAAAGGUUAACUACAACUCCAGUUCUUGCCUUACCUACUCCCGGUGAGAGUUUUGUGGUGUAUAGCGAUGCUUCGCGAUUGGGUCUUGGGUGUGUGUUGAUGCAACGCGGGCAAGUCAUUGCAUAUGCUUCCCGACAGUUGAAGACCUAUGAGAAGAAUUAUCCCACCCAUGAUCUUGAGUUAGCUGCCGUGGUCUUCGCACUUAAGCUAUGGAGACAUUACUUGUAUGGCGAGCGUUGCGAAGUCUACACCGACCACAAGAGCCUCAAGUAUCUGUUUACACAGAAAGAGUUGAACCUUAGGCAGCGACGAUGGUUAGAAUUGUUGAAAGACUACGAUGUCACAAUUCUUUACCAUCCGGGAAAGGCUAAUGUGGUUGCCGAUGCAUUGAGUCGGAAGUCGGCGGAAAAUCUUGCGAUGAUGAUUACUAACCAACCGCCAUUGCUUGAAGAAUUACGACGUUUUGACUUGGAGGUAGUAGCUCCGGACGUCCCAAUUGUUCUUGCAAGCUUAAUCGUGCAACCGACCUUGUUGGAGCGGAUUAAGACUCAACAAUUACAAGAUUCUUAUCUCCAAAAGGUACGAGUUGACGUUGAGGGUGGACGUGCUAGUGAUUUUAGUGUUGGCUCCGAUGGCACCAUUCGGUUUCGCGGUCGGUUGUGUGUUCCUAGUGAUGAGGGAAUGCGGAGCGAGAUCAUGCAAGAAGCACAUCAAUCCCCUUAUAGCAUACAUCCGGGUGGCACUAAGAUGUAUAAGGAUUUGAGAACCCAUUAUUGGUGGCCCGGGAUGAAGAAGGAUAUCGGUCGCUUUGUGGCGCAAUGUUUGGUGUGCCAACAAGUUAAGGCCGAACAUCGACUCCCUGCGGGAAAACUUCAAAGUUUACCAAUCCCCGUGUGGAAAUGGGAGGAUGUGACUAUGGACUUGGUAGUGGGGUUACCUCGUUCUCAAGGCGGUCAUGAUGCAAUAUGGGUGGUGGUGGAUCGCCUCACGAAAUCUGCGCAUUUCAUGCCAAUCCACACCACAUGGUCGGGUGAUAAACUUGCUCAAGUUUAUUUGGAUGAGGUCGUCCGACUACACGGAGUUCUGGUAUCGAUUGUGUCGGAUCGGGACCCUCGAUUUACUUCACAGUUUUGGAGGAACUUGCAGAGUGCUCUGGGCACACGGCUCGAGUUCAGUACUGCUUUUCAUCCUCAAAGUGAUGGCCAGUCAGAGAGGACGAUACAAAUCCUUGAGGAUAUGUUGCGAGCGUGUGUCCUUGACUUCAAGGGAGGUUGGCAUAGUUAUUUGCCUAUGGCGGAGUUCGCCUACAAUAACAGUUAUCAAGCGAGUAUUGGAAUGGCUCCAUUCGAAGCCUUAUAUGGACGGAAGUGCCGCUCCCCGAUACAUUGGGGUGAAGUUGGAGAGCGACUUGAAUUGGGUCCGGACGUGUUACGCGAGGCCGAGGAGAAAGUUCGCAUUGCUCGGCAGAGAAUGUUAACGGCACAGUCUCGGCAAAAGAGUUAUGCCGACAAACGUCGACGAAGCCUCGAGUUUGCAAUUGGAGACAAGGUAUUUUUAAAGGUCUCCCCGAUGCGAGGCGUUAAGCGGUUUGGAAUGCGAGGGAAGUUAAGUCCUCGCUACGUCGGGCCGUAUGAGAUUUUGGAUCGGGUUGGCCCUGUGGCUUAUCGGUUGGCGUUGCCACCUCGGCUUGCGGGAGUGCACAAUGUGUUCCAUGUGUCGACACUCCGCAAGUAUGUUUCCAACUCUACGCAUGUGCUCCAAUAUGAACCACCCGAGCUCCGGGAGGAUAUGUCGUACGAGGAAUUUCCGGUAUGCAUCCUAGCUCGUGAGGAGAGGGAACUACGGAAUCGUGCGAUCCCAUAUGUCAAAGUUCAAUGGAGUAAUCAUGGCGAACGAGAAGCUACAUGGGAGCUCGAAAGCAAGAUGCGUGAUGAGUACCCUUACCUCUUCCCCGAGUCUAGUUGAGGUAUGACUCUAAGUUUCGAGGACGAAACUUCUCUUAAGGAGGGGAGGAUGUAGUGUACCGAAUUUUUUUAAUAUAGAAAUAAGAGUAAAUAAAAGUAUAUAAAAUUGUGCAAAUGAGAGGGGCUAAGGUGUAAUUGUGCAAAUGAGAGGGGCUAAGGUGGAAUGGUGCAAGUAAAAGAGUUUUACUUGGAGGGCAAGUUUCCUAUGUAUAAGAGAUUACUUGGAGGGCAAGUCUCCCUAUGUUAUGAGAGGGACUAAAGUGUAAUUGUGCAAAUCAAGGGUUUACUUGGAGGGCAAGUUUCCUAUGAGUGUGAGUGAACCCUUGCCCCCUUUUUCCCAAACCGUAGGAAAGAGAGAGUGGGCUUUCUCUCUCUUUCUCUCUUUGUCCUUGUGGUCUCUCUUUCUCUCUCUCUUUCUCUUUAUUAAAAAGAGGAUUUGCUAAAGAGAGGAUUUGCUAAGAGAGGAUUAGAGAAUACUAAUUGGAGUUGCUUGGUGGUGAAGCAAGCUUAGUGGAGAAGAAGGCUUGGAAUUGAGCUACUUCCUUCAUCUUCUUCAUCACUUGGAUUAGAGAAGAAAGCUUGUUUAAGGUAAGCUUCAUGGGCUCUAAUGGCAUAUAGCUAGAGAUGGGUUUAAAUCUCUUAGAAUCUAGCUAGAUGGAAAUCCUAGUUAAUGUUAGGUUGCUAUUUGCUUGAAUCAUGAAUUUAUAUAGUAUAUUAUUGCAAUAGUGACCUCUAGGAUUUUGAAAGAGAGCUCUUGAUCAUGAGAGGUUUUAAUCUCAAUUGAUCAUAUGUUUCCGCAAUUGAAGGUAAAACCGAUGCGGAGGAUCAUUCGGAUUGAGAUUCCGUUGAGCCGGUGGUGGUCAAAGUGAAGAAAAUUCUAUUUUGCUUCAUUUGUCGCAGUUGGAAGAAAACAACGGCCAUAAAUCGCGCUACUAGGCUACUCGCUUCGUGUCGACAUCACGAGGUGGGGGGUGCUAUCCGAAAUAGCCGAGUUUCAUUCUAUGUCUAAGUUCUACUUUUAUUGAUCAUAUAUCAUCAUGCAUAGAAUAGUGAGAAUCCUAUGAGUUGUGGUAAUUUCAUGCUUAGUGUGAGGGAUAAUGAUCCAUGAUUGCAUGAUACUUGUAGGAAUAUCUAUUUGCAUGAUGUUGAGAUAGAUGUGGACAUGUAUGUUGCAUGAGAACUUUUAUAUGAUGCCAAUAUAAAUAUUGUACAUGUUGUAUGAAUUGCUAGUGGACAUAUGCAUGUGAAUAUGAUGUAAGAAUAGACUAGAUUCAUGAGGAACUAGUAUGUAAACCAAUGACAUUGUGAGAAUUGGAAACUAAUGCAUAUGUGGCCGACCUGAGCAAAGCAUGCCUUGUGAGGAUAGGGAUAUGGUACUCCCGUGGCCCUCGAAUGAGAGGACUUGAUCAUACUCGCAUUGUCUGUUAUAGCUUGUGGAUGGUCGCUCCUCCCAAGCAGUGAGCUCCGGAGUUGAAUCACAUUGAGAUUGGAACGGGGGAGAGAGUCACUACGGUGCGCCCUCGGCAGACGGUCACGGUCGCGUGACAGUAUGUGUAGCGAGUGAUUCGACCUUCGGGCGAAUCGUUUGGAUUUGACACAGGCAUGAUCAUGACAUUUCGUAUAUAGUUGCAUACAUGAGAGAACUUAAACAUGUACUUGUUGACAUAAUUUGUAAAGGCAUAGCUACACAUUCGAGCAUGAUAUAGAUGUGGAUGAGCAAGGUAGGCUUAUUGUUAUAUCUAUUAUUCCUUUGACAUGUUGACCUCUUUAUUGUUUCUAUGCCUUUCUUGGACCUAGUGGGAAAAUCGGCGGGGUCGGCGGCCGAACCCACUGGGAACUAUGGAUAAUAGUUCUCACACCCUGUUUUGCAGAGCCUAGUUCGAGCGCGUGUGUCGAGGAUCGCGGCAAGGGCGUCGCGCAGUAGAUAGAGUGGAUCACCGGCGUUAGCUCCCUACCCUCGAGAAUAAAAAAGAAAAGAAUGAUAUGUAAAACCCUUUUGUGAAGAAAUGUAAUGUAUUUGAGGGAUGGCAUUUUGGUUGUAUGUAUGAGAAGUCAAGUGAAAUAUGUAAUGGUUCUUGUGUGUGAACAAGUAAUGAAAUAGAUAGUUUAAAUUCUCUCGUUUCUGUGAUUGCCUCUCUCAAUGUUGAAUGCUAACAUCUCUUGUUGGAUAUGUAUGCAUAGACUUUGUUACGCUUCGGGCGAGCAGGGGAAACUCUGUCCGUUCGGCGGGUCUGUUUGGGCCCGAACUGUCCAAAUUGGCGGUGUCGGGUCGUGACAAAACAUGUCCAAGUUUCUAUACAAAAAUAAACAUCUAUUGGGGUUCCUCCUCUAGUGCAAGCAACUAUGGUAGGAGACAUUAUCUAGUUUGCGAUCACCUUACCUUAAUCAGACACUGACACUAAGAACUCUGAAAGAAAC